Nicotiana attenuata is the source of this 116-nucleotide microRNA precursor. It matches the Rfam family "MIR6152 microRNA precursor family". The record is from Rfam. NCBI's taxonomy places the organism in Eukaryota, Viridiplantae, Streptophyta, Magnoliopsida, Solanales, Solanaceae.
CUAAUCAGUUGUUGUAUUCGACUGUAUUCAUGGAGUGAAACAUGGGAUUACAGCUGCACAGAGAGAUUACAAUGUUUUUAAAACGAAAAGUGAAUCAAUUAACAUAAUAGACUCCU